GUCUCCUUCGGGAAGCUGGGACACCGCAGGCGGAAGGGCCUGCUUCACUCUAUGAGUUUCUGACUGGAGUUGACUGGCUUUGAUUUUGGAAGUGAGUUAUCGCUGAGAUAAAAGUUCCUGGAGGAGUGGAUUCUGGCUCCUGAGAGGAAGUCUACGCCUGAGGAGGAGGAAGUGGCUGAAGAAAACACAGAAAUGAUAAGCAUGGAGAGAGAGAGACUUCAUCAG
Peromyscus leucopus (white-footed mouse) is the source of this 225-nucleotide long non-coding RNA. RefSeq lists it as uncharacterized. The record is from RefSeq and is a predicted model, not a curated record. Lineage: Eukaryota; Metazoa; Chordata; Mammalia; Rodentia; Cricetidae. The transcript is spliced from 3 exons.